This 450-nucleotide ribosomal RNA is filed under the name uncultured bacterium. RNAcentral's name for it is "bacterial SSU rRNA". It matches the Rfam family "Bacterial small subunit ribosomal RNA", at positions 32 to 507 of the family's 1533-position model. The record is from RNAcentral.
ACAACGCUUGUGGCGUGCCUAACACAUGGCCGUCAUGCGUCUCCUCUUUUCGGAGAGGAGGAAGCGGCGGACGGGUGAGGCACACGUGUAUACCUACCCCUCAGUGAGGAAUACCGGCGAGAAAUCGCCGACAAUACCGCAUAAGGUCCCUCUUGCGAGGGAGCAAAGCCGCAAGGCGCUGGGGGAGGGGUCUGCGUCCGAUUAGCUAGCUGGUGGGGUAAUGGCUCACCAGGGCGACGAUCGGUAGCUGGUCUGAGAGGAUGAUCAGCCACACUGGGAUUGAGAACGGCCCAGACUCCUACGGGGGGCAGCAGUGAGGAAUCUUCGGCAAUGGGGGCAACCCUGACCGAGCAACGCCGCGUGCAGGAAGAAGGUUUUCGGAUCGUAAACUGCUUUUCUGUGGGACGAGCAAGGACGGUACCACAGGAAGAAGCCCCGGCUAACUACGUG